RNAcentral lists this non-coding RNA (274 nucleotides) under Paenibacillus sp. UNCCL117. RNAcentral's name for it is "Bacterial large subunit ribosomal RNA". It matches the Rfam family "Bacterial large subunit ribosomal RNA", at positions 2644 to 2925 of the family's 2925-position model. Lineage: Bacteria; Bacillati; Bacillota; Bacilli; Caryophanales; Paenibacillaceae. The record is from Rfam by way of RNAcentral.
GUCGCGGGCGCAGGAAAUUUGAGAGGAGCUGUCCUUAGUACGAGAGGACCGGGAUGGACGUACCGCUGGUGUACCAGUUGUCUCGCCAGAGGCACGGCUGGAUAGCCAAGUACGGCAGGGAUAAGCGCUGAAAGCAUCUAAGCGUGAAGCCCCCCUCAAGAUGAGAUUUCCCAGUAAGUAAGACCCCUUGUAGACGACGAGGUAGAUAGGUUCGGGGUGGAAGCGCGGCAACGUGUGGAGCUGACGAAUACUAAUCGGUCGAGGGCUUAUCCUA